Molecule: non-coding RNA, 31 nt
Filed under: Mus musculus (house mouse)
Lineage: Eukaryota; Metazoa; Chordata; Mammalia; Rodentia; Muridae
Source: RNAcentral
UGGUCUUGACUUCCUCAUUUCUGAUUGGACA